ACUCCUACAGGAGGCAGCAGUGGGGAAUAUUGCACAAUGGGGAAACCCUGAUGCAGCCAUGCCGCGUGUGUGAAGAAGGCCUCGGUUGUAAGCACUUUCAGUAGGGAGGAAGGUAGUGUAGUUAACACCUGCAUUAUUUGACGUUACCUACAGAAGAAGCACCGGCUAACUCCGUGCCAGCAGCCGCGGUAAUACGGAGGGUGCGAGCGUUAAUCGGAAUUACUGGGCGUAAAGCGCAUGCAGGCGGCCUGUUAAGUCAGAUGUGAAAGCCCGGGGGCUUAACCUCGGAAUUGCAUUUGAAACUGGCAGGCUAGAGUCUUGUAGAGGGGGUAGAAUUUCAGGUGUAGCGGUGAAAUGCGUAGAGAUCUGAAGGAAUACCAGUGGCGAAGGCGGCCCCCUGGACAAAGACUGACGCUCAGAUGCGAAAGCUGGGGAGCAAACAGGAUUAGAUACCCUGGUAGCACAGAG
Molecule: ribosomal RNA, 468 nt
Filed under: uncultured bacterium
Lineage: Bacteria
Description: bacterial SSU rRNA
Rfam family: Bacterial small subunit ribosomal RNA
Source: RNAcentral